RNAcentral lists this long non-coding RNA (805 nucleotides) under Heterocephalus glaber (naked mole-rat). RNAcentral describes it as "lncRNA (ENSHGLG00000049283.1)". Lineage: Eukaryota; Metazoa; Chordata; Mammalia; Rodentia; Bathyergidae. The record is from RNAcentral.
GCCUCUUAUUGCUUCUUGCUACUAGAAGCUACCUUCUUCCUCCUACUAUUUAGACAGCAGCCAGCACACUGGGAGAUGCUAUGUAUAGGACAGCUGUAUCAAAUACACCAAAAGUGAUGGGAAAUCACUUCUGAGAGAAACUGUGAAAAGGCCUCUGACUGAAUCUUGCUCGUCCUCUAUACUCACCCUGAGGAAGCCAGCUGCCGUCUUGCUAAUUGCCCUGAAAGGUCCACAUGGGAAUGAACUGAAGGGAGGCCACCAGCCAGAAGUAAGCAAAGAAUGGAGGCCCUCAAAGUCUACUGGCAGUUGAAUCCUGCCAGCAAGCAUGAUGUUCUUUUGAUUACACUGUGGACUGUUCUCAUGGGGGUUGACCGUCCUUCACUAUGGAAGACAAUGGCAACACUUGAAGCGAGCAGAUUUUCAUCGUAAUGCCAAUACUUACAUCCUCAUCCUGCCCAGCGGGCUCCGGUCGUCAGGCUGUGCAGAGAGGGAAGAACAGAGGACCACGAGCCUCAGGAAACUUCCCACCACCAGCAAAUUGCGUGAGAUGAACCCAAUCUUCAGCCUCAUCUUCCUCCGGCAGAGGGCAGAGGGAGAUGUGAGACACAGAACAGCAAGCAGUAUAGUCACAGAUAGAGACCUGAGCAAUGUUGUCACAAAGCAAGAAGUGCUAGAAGCCACAGGAACCUAGAAAAGGAUUCUCUCCGACAGCCUCUGGAGCAAUGCAACCCUGAUGACACCUGAGCUUGCCCCAGUGAUAAUGAGUUUGACCAUCUGGACUCCAAAACUGGGAGAUAAUAAAUUC